Molecule: ribosomal RNA, 158 nt
Filed under: uncultured Pseudomonas sp.
Lineage: Bacteria; Pseudomonadati; Pseudomonadota; Gammaproteobacteria; Pseudomonadales; Pseudomonadaceae
Description: partial 16S ribosomal RNA
Rfam family: Bacterial small subunit ribosomal RNA
Source: RNAcentral
GCGAAGCCUGAUCCAGCCAUGCCGCGUGUGUGAAGAGGGUCUUCGGAUUGUAAAGCACUUUAAGCUGGGAGGAAGGGCAGUAAGCGAAUACCUUGCUGUUUUGACGUUACCAGCAGAAUAAGCACCGGCUAACUCUGUGCCAGCAGCCGCGGUAAUAA